This 4461-nucleotide ribosomal RNA is filed under the name Triticum aestivum (bread wheat). Its description in RNAcentral is "partial small subunit ribosomal RNA". The record is from RNAcentral. Lineage: Eukaryota; Viridiplantae; Streptophyta; Magnoliopsida; Poales; Poaceae.
AUGGGCGUGCACGGGCUGUGGGGGCUGCUGGCCCCGGUGGGGCGGCGCGUGUCGGUGGAGACCCUGGCGGGGAAGCGGCUGGCGGUGGACGCCAGCAUCUGGAUGGUGCAGUUCAUGCGGGCGAUGCGGGACGACAAGGGCGACAUGGUCCGCGACGCCCACAUCCUCGGCUUCCUCCGCCGCAUCUGCAAGCUCCUCUUCCUCCGGGCCCGCCCGGUCUUCGUCUUCGACGGCGCCACGCCGGCCCUCAAGCGCCGCACCCUCGCCGCCCGCCGCCGGAACCGCGACGCCGCGCAGGCCAAGGUCCGCAAGACCGCCGAGAAGCUCCUAAUCUCCCAUCUCAAGGCAAGUAGGCUUGAAGAAUUGGCAGCUCAAAUCAAAAGUGACAGGGCUAAGCAUGAUGCUAAGGGCAAGCAGGUUGGGAGCAGUAGAGGAGAAGAAACUGAGAAAACAGAUGGAGAUCAAAACCGAAAUGACGAUGGCGAGAACAGCAGGGGGGCAGCUGCACCAAUCAACCAGGAAAAAUUGGAUGAACUGCUGGCAGCGUCACUUGCUGCAGAGGACGAGGCAGGUUUGACUGGCAAAGGGGAACGAAAUCCUGCAAGUGUCCCAUCACAAGAAGGAACUGGCAUUGACGAAGAUGAGAACGACGAUGAUGAAGAGAUGAUAUUUCCUAUUACAACUGGUGACAUUGAUCCUGCUGUGUUAGCUUCUCUCCCUCCAUCAAUGCAGCUAGAUCUACUUGUUCAGAUGAGGGAGAGGGUGAUGGCUGAAAACAGGCAGAAGUACCAAAAAAUAAAAAAGGAGCCUGCAAAAUUUUCAGAGCUUCAAAUACAGUCCUAUCUGAAAACGGUUGCUUUUCGUCGAGAGAUAGAAGAAGUUCGGAAGGGUGCUGCAGGUAAGGAUGUUGGGGGCAUCCAGACAUCGAAAAUAGCAUCGGAAGCUAACAGAGAGUUCAUUUUCUCAUCAUCAUUCACUGGUGAUAAACAGACAUUGGCACAAAGAGGUGUAGAGGAGCAGAUUGUUGAUAGCGGUAAAUCAAAAAGGGAAAUUAGUUCUGCUAUCUUCAAAUCCAGUCCGUCAAGUAGUUCUAGAUCAAUUAAACCUCACAGCGGUGAGCCUUCAACGGGUUUUGGGCCUGAUGUUGAGACAUAUCGUGAUGAGAGAGGAAGGAUGAGAGUAAGUAGGGUGAGAGGAAUGGGAAUUCGUAUGACUCGUGAUAUUCAAAGGAAUUUGGAUUUUAUCAAAGAGCAUGAGCAGGCAAAAAGCAUGGGACAGGCCAACAUAGGCAAAGGAUCAACUAACAAUGAAGAACCACCAGAUUUUCCAGAACAUCUUUUUGAAAAUGAUGGGCUGCAAAGCUCUGUUGGUCUAGGUGAAGAUUUUGGUGAAAUUAUUGGUGACAACCAUCACACAUCGUCACUUGUAGGAGGAUCUGAUGAUAUUUCUGAGAGUUCCUGCCAUGAGAGCAAAGAUACAAUAGAGAUAUCUUUUGUGGAUGAUCAAAUUGGAGUGAAGGACAACGACGACAAGCUAUUUUUGCAUUUAGUUUCUGGAACUUCAUCCAAGUUAUUUGCUGAUGGUGAUCGUUUGGCUAAAACUACAGAAGAAUCUGACAACUCCGAGGGUAUUUGGGAAGAAGGUGUCAUAGAAGAACAAACACUUCCUAUGAAGGUUGGUGAGAAGGAUUAUCAAUCAUCACCUCCUGAUAACUGUUGUACUGACGAUGAGGUGGAAUGGGAGGAAGGUGUCUGUGAUGUUCCUGAAGUUCCUUUUAGUAGUGAAUACAAUCAGUGUAAAUUACCAAAAGGGGAUAUAGAAGAAGAGGCUCUCAUACAGGAAGCAAUAAGGAGAAGUUUAGAGGACUCCGAGAAGCAGGAAUUUGAAAAUGGAAUCCCUGAAGAUUUGGAAACAUCUAUUGAAGAUAAAUCUUUGCAAUCUCAUGAUGUUCCCAAACCAUCUGAAGCUCCUGCUACAACUUAUUCCCACUCCGAAGCUUCUUUUGGUAAAGAAACAAUCAAAGAAAUGGGAAUAAAAAACAGUUCUGGUGAGGUUGGUGUUAUGCAUGAUCCUGAAGUGCUUGAAGCUGAAAGAAAAGAAAAUGAAAAACAAGCUCAACUGGAGAGUAAUGAUGGACGAGCUGGUACAAACACAGAUUAUUCGCGGGGGUCUUCUCCAGUGUAUAAUGUAUCCACAAGUACUCUUACUGCAAGGCCAUCUUGCAGCCCAAAGGUUCAGGACAAUGAUGCAAUCGUGUCCGCAACCAGCGUUCAUGAGUGGCCUAAAGAGGAAGAGCAAAACACUUUGAAUUCUCAUAAAUCAGAAUGCAACACAAAUGAUCCUUAUAUUGGAGAAACCUCCAUGGCGGCCCACAAGGAACCUUUGAUGGAUGAAUUGGUAGCCAAUGAUGCCAUACAAAAGGAAAAUGUUAUUCAGGAAGAUAUGAACAUUACCACUUCUGAGAUCAACAGUACACGAUUAAAUGAGAAUUAUGAUAGCCAUAUUAUAUCAGAAAAUAAUCUGGAGAAGGAAAUAUCUUUUCUUAGACAAGAACAGGUAGAUCUUGGAAAUGAAAGGCGAAAACUUGAAAGCCAUGCAGAGUCUCUCAGCAGUGAGAUGUUUGCUGAGUGCCAGGAAUUGCUCCAAAUGUUCGGCUUGCCGUAUAUAAUUGCACCAAUGGAAGCUGAAGCUCAGUGUGCUUACAUGGAAAUCAACAACCUUGUUGAUGGAGUUGUUACUGAUGAUUCAGAUGUCUUCCUGUUUGGGGCAAGGAAUGUUUAUAAAAAUAUAUUUGAUGAUAGGAAGUAUGUGGAAACAUACCUUAUGAAGGACAUCGAGUCGGAGCUGGGACUAACAAGGGAACAGUUAAUUCGUAUGGCUCUGCUUCUGGGGAGUGACUACACUGAAGGAAUUAGUGGUAUUGGCAUUGUGAACGCUAUUGAAGUUGUACAUGCAUUUCCUGAGGAAGAUGGCCUCCAACAGUUCAGAGAAUGGAUUGAAUCACCGGAUCCAGCGAUAUUGGGGAAAUUUGAUGUCGAAACCAGUGGCAGCUCAAAGAGAAGGAAAUCUGGUGGAAAUGAAUCGUGUGAAAAAGGAAAUAGCCUGGAACCUGAAUGUGUUGAAGGUUCUGAUAAUAACCAAUCUUCUAAUGAGACCCAACAUAUCAAGGAAGUAUUUAUGAGUAACCAUAGGAACGUGAGCAAGAACUGGCAUAUACCUUCCACUUUUCCUAGUGAGACAGUCAUCAAUGCAUACAUUUCUCCCCAAGUGGAUGAUUCAACAGAACGUUUUUCCUGGGGAAGACCAGACUUAAGCUUGCUACGCAAGUUAUGUUGGGAAAGGUUUGGCUGGAACAAGGAGAAAGCUGACGAACUGCUGCUUCCUGUUUUGAAAGAGUAUAAUAAGCAUGAGACUCAGCUGCGCAUGGAGGCAUUUUAUUCAUUCAAUGAGAGAUUUGCAAAAAUACGUAGCAAAAGGAUUCAGAAAGCUAUCAAGGGUAUCACAGGGAAAACUUUCUCAGAAACGGAUGAACUCAAUGAGGAUAGUCCCAGUACUAGUGAUGCACCCAAGAAGAAAGAGGCAGGCCGCUCUAGCCGUGCUAAACCGAGAGGAAAAAGGAACACCGGUGCUGAACCUAGAAACAUGGGAAGUCAAGAAGAUGACAAAAUUGGUGAUCCUAAUAGCUUUGCCGAUGCGGAUGCACUUGCGGAAGAACAGAGAAAUGUCAGUAAGAAGAAGAACGCAAGCCCCUCAGGUCGUUCUAGAGGGAGAGGUCGAAAAAAGAUGAAUGUUCGACAAGAGACUACUAGAGAUGAGGAAGAUUUCGAAGUUCAAAUGUCUAAUUUGUCCGCAGAUGAGGACUCGCAUAAAAGGCACACCAACAAAUACAAAUCAGAAGGAAUAACAGUACGUAAGUCCAACCGGAAGAGGAAACAAGUAACGUACAUGGAAGAUGACCACGAAGCUGAUGACAAUACUGUCCCCUUGCAUCAAGUCGAUGAAGAUGACCCUAGCCAAAUUGGCACCGACAUUGACACAGCUGGACGAGACACGCAAUCCAAUCUGCUCCAUCAGGAUACAAGUGAACUGAACAGCGACCAGAUGCACAUGGACCCAGGCACUGCCGAAGAUCUGAAUGAAGAUCCCUUGGGCUUUGAGUUAUAUGAUGACCAGACUGAUUCUGCACCAAAAGAAUACCUUUUCACUGGAGGCGGAUUCUGUGCGGAGGAGGAUGAACAAGAUACAGCGGUUGAUCGAUCUGGCGGGGAAACAGUGGGUGGAACAAGUGACGCAUGUGAGGAUAUCGCGGGGGUUUCUGACGGCGGUAAAAGUAUAGGCUUGUCGACGCCGACUGAAGAGUGUGCAGAGGAUACUAGUACGGACGCCCGGGGUGCAUCUUCAUCGAAGCGACACAAUGCUGGCAGUGGUCUGCCCAAGAUUGCCAAACGUAGGAGAAAAUAA